RNAcentral lists this ribosomal RNA (433 nucleotides) under uncultured bacterium. Its description in RNAcentral is "partial 16S ribosomal RNA". It matches the Rfam family "Bacterial small subunit ribosomal RNA", at positions 29 to 507 of the family's 1533-position model. The record is from RNAcentral.
AACGAACGCUGGCGGCAUGCCUAACACAUGCAAGUCGAACGAGACCUUCGGGUCUAGUGGCGCACGGGUGCGUAACGCGUGGGAACCUGCCCUUAGGUUCGGAAUAACUCCCCGAAAGGGGUGCUAAUACCGGAUAAUGUCUUCGGACCAAAGAUUUAUCGCCUUUGGAUGGGCCCGCGUUGGAUUAGCUAGUUGGUAGGGUAAAAGCCUACCAAGGCGACGAUCCAUAGCUGGUCUGAGAGGAUGAUCAGCCACACUGGGACUGAGACACGGCCCAGACUCCUACGGGAGGCAGCAGUGGGGAAUAGUGGACAAUGGGCGACAGCCUGAUCCAGCAAUGCCGCGUGAGUGAUGAAGGCCUUAGGGUUGUAAAGCUCUUUUACCCGGGAUGAUAAUGACAGUACCGGGAGAAUAAGCUCCGGCUAACUCCGUG